This 2867-nucleotide ribosomal RNA is filed under the name Ruminobacter amylophilus. Its description in RNAcentral is "cytosolic 23S rRNA". It matches the Rfam family "Bacterial large subunit ribosomal RNA". The record is from RNAcentral. Lineage: Bacteria; Pseudomonadati; Pseudomonadota; Gammaproteobacteria; Aeromonadales; Succinivibrionaceae.
GGUUAAGUGAAUAAGCGUACAUGGUGGAUGCCUAGGCAAUAAGAGGCGAAGAAGGACGUGCUAACCUGCGAAAAGUCAUGAUGAGCUGGUAAGAAGCGCAAAAGUCAUGGAUGUCCGAAUGGGGGAACCCAGCAUCAGUUAUGAUGUUAUCAGAGCAAUCUGAGGCGAACCGGGAGAAGUGAAACAUCUCAGUACCCCGAGGAAAAGAAAUCAACCGAGAUUUCCUAAGUAGUGGCGAACGAACGGGAAGCAGCCCAAAAGUUGUAUAAGUCAUAGUUGAAUUAUCUGGAAAGGUAAACGAAAGAGAGUGAUAGUCUCGUAGACGAAGUGGCUUAUAUGAUGAUGAAAGAGUAGGACGGAACACGUGGAAUUCUGUCUGAAGAUAGGGGGACCAUCCUCUAAGGCUAAAUACUACUUAUUGACCGAUAGUGAACAAGUACCGUGAGGGAAAGGCGAAAAGAACCCCUGUUAGGGGAGUGAAAUAGAAACUGAAACCGUGUACGUACAAGCAGUGGGAGCACUACGGUGUGACUGCGUACCUUUUGUAUAAUCGGUCAGCGAGUUACUUUCAGUGGCGAGGUUAACCGCAUAGGGGAGCCGAAGGGAAAACCGAGUUUUAACUGAGCGCGAGUCGCUGGGAGUAGACCCGAAACCUGAUGAUCUAGUCAUGGGCAGGAUGAAGGCAAGGUAACACUUGCUGGAGGGCCGAACCCACUAACGUUGCAAAGUUAGGGGAUGACCUGUGACUAGGGGUGAAAGGCCAAUCAAAUCAGGUGAUAUCUGGUUCUCCCCGAAAGCUAUUUAGGUAGCGCCUCAAAUGAAAGUUAUGGGAGGUAGAGCACUGUUUCGAUAAGGGGUCCAUCCCGGAUUGCCGAGUCGAUGCAAACUCCGAAUACUCAUAAGGACUAUUUGGGAGACAGACAGCGGGUGCUAAGGUCCGUUGUCGAGAGGGAAAGAGCCCAGACCGCCAGCUAAGGUCCCGAAGUUAAGGUUAAGUGGGAAACGAUGUGGGAAGGCAUAGACAGCUAGGAUGUUGGCUUAGAAGCAGCCAUCAUUAAAAGAAAGCGUAAUAGCUCACUAGUCGAGUCGGCCUGCGCGGAAGAUGUAACGGGGCUAAAACCUUACACCGAAGCUGCGGAAUUAAGAAAUUAAUUGGUAGGGGAGCGUUCUGUAAGGCUGUGAAGGGCAACUGGAAGGUUGACUGGAGCUAUCAGAAGUGCGAAUGCUGACGUGAGUAACGAUAAUAUAUGUGAAAAACAUAUACGCCGAAAGACCAAGGGUUUCUGUCCAACGUUAAUCGGGGCAGAGUGAGUCGGUACCUAAUGUAAGGCUGAAAAGCGUAGACGAUGGAUAUUCGGUUAAUAUUCCGAAACUAGGCAUUGAUUGUGAGGAAGGACGGAGAAGGCUAGUGCUGCUUACUGUUGGAAUAGUAAGUGGAAGGCGGUAGUUCCGGUGUGUACGAAGAAAAGGCACGCUGAAGGACGAGAGCCGAGAGGAUUACACUACGGUGUAAGAAGAGCAUGAUGCCAGGCUUCCAGGAAAAGUUCCGUACACGUUAAUUAAUGCUGGCCGUACCCGAAACCGACACAGGUGGUCGGGUAGAGAAUACCAAGGCGCUUGAGAGAACUCGGGUGAAGGAACUAGGCAAAAUAGUACCGUAACUUAGGGAGAAGGUAUGCUGAGGAGAUUGAGCAUCCGCGCGAUGUAAGGUUGAAUCAGUGACAGCAAAGAGGUGGCUGGGACUGUUUAACAAAAACACAGCACACUGCGAACACGGAAGUGGAAGUAUAGUGUGUGACACCUGCCCGGUGCCGGAAGGUUAAAUGAUGAAGUCAUCGCAAGAGAAGCUUCUGAUUGAAGCCCCGGUAAACGGCGGCCGUAACUAUAACGGUCCUAAGGUAGCGAAAUUCCUUGUCGGGCAAGUUCCGACCUGCACGAAUGGUGUAACCAUGGCCACGCUGUCUCCACCCGAGACUCAGUGAAAUCGAAAUCGCUGUGAAGAUGCAGUGUACCCGCGGCUAGACGGAAAGACCCCGUGAACCUUUACUAUAGCUUGACACUGAACAUUGAGUCUGUCUGUGUAGGAUAGAUGGGAGACAGAGAAGCGAGUACGCCAGUAUUCGUGGAGUCGGCCGGUGAAAUACCAUUCUGGGAGACUUGGUGUUCUAACCAAAUAUUAACAGAUAAUGGGACAGUGUCUGGUGGGUAGUUUGACUGGGGCGGUCUCCUCCUAAAGGGUAACGGAGGAGCACGAAGGUUGGCUAAUCACGGUCGGACAUCGUGAGGUUAGUGUAAUGGUAGAAGCCAGCUUAACUGCGAGACAGACGAGUCGAGCAGGUGCGAAAGCAGGUCAUAGUGAUCCGGUGGUUCUGCAUGGAAGGGCCAUCGCUCAACGGAUAAAAGGUACUCUGGGGAUAACAGGCUGAUACCGCCCAAGAGUUCAUAUCGACGGCGGUGUUUGGCACCUCGAUGUCGGCUCAUCACAUCCUGGGGCUGAAGUUGGUCCCAAGGGUAUGGCUGUUCGCCAUUUAAAGUGGUACGCGAGCUGGGUUCAAAACGUCGUGAGACAGUUUGGUCCCUAUCUGCCGUGGGCGCUGGAUGAUUGAAGGGAGUUGCUCCUAGUACGAGAGGACCGGAGUGAACGAACCGCUGGUGUAUGGGUUGUCAUGCCAAUGGCACUGCCCGGUAGCUACGUUCGGAAUCGAUAACCGCUGAAAGCAUCUAAGCGGGAAGCGAGCCUUAAGAUAAGUCAUCCCGAACUAUAAGUUUGUAAGGGACGUUGGAGACUACGACGUUGAUAGGCUGGGAGUGGAAGUGCAGUGAUGCAUGUAGCGGACCAGUACUAAUGACCCGAGAGGCUUAACCAU